This 1500-nucleotide ribosomal RNA is filed under the name metagenome. RNAcentral's name for it is "bacterial SSU rRNA". It matches the Rfam family "Bacterial small subunit ribosomal RNA". The record is from RNAcentral.
AGAGUUUGAUCAUGGCUCAGAUUGAACGCUGGCGGCAGGCCUAACACAUGCAAGUCGAACGGUAACAGGAAGCAGCUUGCUGCUUCGCUGACGAGUGGCGGACGGGUGAGUAAUGUCUGGGAAGCUGCCUGAUGGAGGGGGAUAACUACUGGAAACGGUAGCUAAUACCGCAUAAUGUCGCAAGACCAAAGAGGGGGACCUUCGGGCCUCUUGCCAUCGGAUGUGCCCAGAUGGGAUUAGCUUGUUGGUGGGGUAACGGCUCACCAAGGCGACGAUCCCUAGCUGGUCUGAGAGGAUGACCAGCCACACUGGAACUGAGACACGGUCCAGACUCCUACGGGAGGCAGCAGUGGGGAAUAUUGCACAAUGGGCGCAAGCCUGAUGCAGCCAUGCCACGUGUAUGAAGAAGGCCUUCGGGUUGUAAAGUACUUUCAGCGGGGAGGAAGGGAGUAAAGUUAAUACCUUUGCUCAUUGACGUUACCCGCAGAAGAAGCACCGGCUAACUCCGUGCCAGCAGCCGCGGUAAUACGGAGGGUGCAAGCGUUAAUCGGAAUUACUGGGCGUAAAGCGCACGCAGGCGGUUUGUUAAGUCAGAUGUGAAAUCCCCGGGCUCAACCUGGGAACUGCAUCUGAUACUGGCAAGCUUGAGUCUCGUAGAGGGGGGUAGAAUUCCAGGUGUAGCGGUGAAAUGCGUAGAGAUCUGGAGGAAUACCGGUGGCGAAGGCGGCCCCCUGGACGAAGACUGACGCUCAGGUGCGAAAGCGUGGGGAGCAAACAGGAUUAGAUACCCUGGUAGUCCACGCCGUAAACGGUGUCGACUUGGAGGUUGUGCCCUUGAGGCGUGGCUUCCGGAGCUAACGCGUUAAGUCGACCGCCUGGGGAGUACGGCCGCGAGGUUAAAACUCAAAUGAAUUGACGGGGGCCCGCACAAGCGGUGGAGCAUGUGGUUUAAUUCGAUGCAACGCGAAGAACCUUACCUGGUCUUGACAUCCACGGAAGUUUUCAGAGAUGAGAAUGUGCCUUCGGGAACCGUGAGACAGGUGCUGCAUGGCUGUCGUCAGCUCGUGUUGUGAAAUGUUGGGUUAAGUCCCGCAACGAGCGCAACCCUUAUCCUUUGUUGCCAGCGGUCCGGCCGGGAACUCAAAGGAGACUGCCAGUGAUAAACUGGAGGAAGGUGGGGAUGACGUCAAGUCAUCAUGGCCCUUACGACCAGGGCUACACACGUGCUACAAUGGCGCAUACAAAGAGAAGCGACCUCGCGAGAGCAAGCGGACCUCAUAAAGUGCGUCGUAGUCCGGAUUGGAGUCUGCAACUCGACUCCAUGAAGUCGGAAUCGCUAGUAAUCGUGGAUCAGAAUGCCAUGGUGAAUACGUUCCCGGGCCUUGUACACACCGCCCGUCACACCAUGGGAGUGGGUUGCAAAAGAAGUAGGUAGCUUAACCUUCGGGAGGGCGCUUACCACUUUGUGAUUCAUGACUGGGGUGAAGUCGGAACAAGGUA